AUAAGCGGAGGAAAAGAAACUAACAAGGAUUCCCCUAGUAGCGGCGAGCGAAGCGGGAAGAGCUCAAAUUUAUAAUCUGGCACCUUCGGUGUCCGAGUUGUAAUCUCUAGAAGUGUUUUCCGCGUUGGACCGCACACAAGUCUGUUGGAAUACAGCGGCAUAGUGGUGAAACCCCCGUAUAUGGUGCGGACGCCCAGCGCUUUGUGAUACACUUUCAAUGAGUCGAGUUGUUUGGGAAUGCAGCUCAAAUUGGGUGGUAAAUUCCAUCUAAAGCUAAAUAUUGGCGAGAGACCGAUAGCGAACAAGUACCGUGAGGGAAAGAUGAAAAGCACUUUGGAAAGAGAGUUAACAGUACGUGAAAUUGUUGGAAGGGAAACGCUUGAAGUCAGACUUGCUUGCCGGAGCUUGCUUCGGUUUGCAGGCCAGCAUCAGUUUUCCGGGGUGGAUAAUGACGGUUUGAAGGUAGCAGUCUCGGCUGUGUUAUAGCUUUCCGUUGGAUACAUCCUGGGGGACUGAGGAACGCAGCGUGCUUUUUGCGAAGGUUUCGACCUUUUCACGCUUAGGAUGCUGGUGGAAUGGCUUUAAACGACCCGUCUUGAAACACGGACCAAGGAGUCUAACAUGCUCGCGAGUAUUUGGGUGUCAAACCCGGAUGCGCAAUGAAAGUGAAUGUAGGUGGGAACCGCAAGGUGCACCAUCGACCGAUCUGGAUCUUUUGAGAUGGAUUUGAGUAAGAGCGCGUAUGUUGGGACCCGAAAGAUGGUGAACUAUGCCUGAAUAGGGCGAAGCCAGAGGAAACUCUGGUGGAGGCUCGUAGCGGUUCUGACGUGCAAAUCGAUCGUCAAAUUUGGGUAUAGGGGCGAAAGACUAAUCGAACCAUCUAGUAGCUGGUUCCUGCCGA
This 901-nucleotide ribosomal RNA is filed under the name Rhodotorula ngohengohe. RNAcentral describes it as "LSU rRNA". It matches the Rfam family "Eukaryotic large subunit ribosomal RNA", at positions 46 to 964 of the family's 3401-position model. Lineage: Eukaryota; Fungi; Basidiomycota; Microbotryomycetes; Sporidiobolales; Sporidiobolaceae. The record is from RNAcentral.